CCUACGGGAGGCAGCAGUGAGGAAUAUUGGUCAAUGGGCGCGAGCCUGAACCAGCCAAGUAGCGUGAAGGAUGACUGCCCUACGGGUUGUAAACUUCUUUUAUUCCGGACGAAACAAAUGACGGUACCGAAUGAAUAAGCCACGUCUAACAACGUGCCAGCAGCCGCGGUCAUACGUCGGGGGCCAGCGUUAUCCGGAUGAACUGGGUGGAAAGGGCAUGUAGGCGGGGGAGCAAGUCAGACGUGAAAUUCCAGGGCUCAAACCUGGAAAUGCAUUUGAUACUGUUUUUCUUGAGUGAUGGAGGGGCAGGCAGAAUUCCGUGUGUAGCGGUGAAAUGCGUAGAGAUGCGGAGGAACACCAGUGGCGAAGGCGGCCUGCUGGGCAUUAACUGACGCUGAGGCGCGAAAGCGUGGGGAGCAAACAGGAUUAGAUACCCGUGUAGUC
RNAcentral lists this ribosomal RNA (444 nucleotides) under uncultured bacterium. RNAcentral's name for it is "partial 16S ribosomal RNA". It matches the Rfam family "Bacterial small subunit ribosomal RNA", at positions 338 to 795 of the family's 1533-position model. The record is from RNAcentral.